GCGCGACCUCCCGGCCCUUUACCUUUUGCCUGUAACUUUCCCAGAUUGCUUGAGCCCUGUGCACAAACGUUAGUGGCAACUGUAUUUUUAAUGGCCAGAGAUGAGACACACACAGUCCAGUGCCCAUCCGCUGGGGAAUGGAUGAAUGUAUCGUGGGACACCUGCAUGAGAAAUUCACUCAGCAAUGAGAAAGAACGGCUGACAGCGAAACGGCACAGGUGAACCUGGAAGCAAGAUGGGAAAAAUCAUCACACAAACCCUGUUGAGAGAAAUGAGAACUUUACUGAGGAG
This is a long non-coding RNA of Symphalangus syndactylus (siamang), 291 nucleotides long. RefSeq lists it as uncharacterized. The record is from RefSeq and is a predicted model, not a curated record. NCBI's taxonomy places the organism in Eukaryota, Metazoa, Chordata, Mammalia, Primates, Hylobatidae.